RNAcentral lists this ribosomal RNA (468 nucleotides) under uncultured bacterium. Its description in RNAcentral is "partial 16S ribosomal RNA". It matches the Rfam family "Bacterial small subunit ribosomal RNA", at positions 28 to 507 of the family's 1533-position model. The record is from RNAcentral.
GACGAACGCUGGCGGCGUGCUUAACACUUGCAAGUCGAACGGAAAGGCCCUGCUUUUGUGGGGUGCUCGAGUGGCGAACGGGUGAGUAACACGUGAGUAACCUGCCCUUGACUUUGGGAUAACUUCAGGAAACUGGGGCUAAUACCGGAUAGGAGCUCCUGCUGCAUGGUGGGGGUUGGAAAGUUUCGGCGGUUGGGGAUGGACUCGCGGCUUAUCAGCUUGUUGGUGGGGUAGUGGCUUACCAAGGCUUUGACGGGUAGCCGGCCUGAGAGGGUGACCGGCCACAUUGGGACUGAGAUACGGCCCAGACUCCUACGGGAGGCAGCAGUGGGGAAUAUUGCACAAUGGGCGGAAGCCUGACGCAGCAACGCCGCGUGCGGGAUGACGGCCUUCGGGUUGUAAACCGCUUUCGCCUGUGACGAAGCGUGAGUGACGGUAAUGGGUAAAGAAGCACCGGCUAACUACGUG